This 253-nucleotide ribosomal RNA is filed under the name uncultured bacterium. Its description in RNAcentral is "partial 16S ribosomal RNA". It matches the Rfam family "Bacterial small subunit ribosomal RNA", at positions 524 to 776 of the family's 1533-position model. The record is from RNAcentral.
UACAGGGGGGGCAAGCGUUGUUCGGAAUUACUGGGCGUAAAGGGCUCGUAGGCGGCCAACUAAGUCCGACGUGAAAUCCCCAGGCUUAACCUGGGAACUGCGUCGGAUACUGGUUGGCUUGAAUUCGGGAGAGGGAUGCAGAAUUCCAGGUGUAGCGGUGAAAUGCGUAGAUAUCUGGAGGAAUACCGGUGGCGAAGGCGGCAUCCUGGACCGACACUGACACUGAGGAGCGAAAGCCAGGGGAGCAAACGGG